Molecule: ribosomal RNA, 465 nt
Filed under: Vreelandella stevensii
Lineage: Bacteria; Pseudomonadati; Pseudomonadota; Gammaproteobacteria; Oceanospirillales; Halomonadaceae
Description: partial 16S ribosomal RNA
Rfam family: Bacterial small subunit ribosomal RNA
Source: RNAcentral
CCUACGGGAGGCUGCAGUGGGGAAUAUUGGACAAUGGGGGCAACCCUGAUCCAGCCAUGCCGCGUGUGUGAAGAAGGCCCUCGGGUUGUAAAGCACUUUCAGUGAGGAAGAACGCCUGGUGGUUAAUACCCAUCAGGAAAGACAUCACUCACAGAAGAAGCACCGGCUAACUCCGUGCCAGCAGCCGCGGUAAUACGGAGGGUGCGAGCGUUAAUCGGAAUUACUGGGCGUAAAGCGCGCGUAGGUGGCUUGAUAAGCCGGUUGUGAAAGCCCCGGGCUCAACCUGGGAACGGCAUCCGGAACUGUCGAGCUAGGGUGCAGGAGAGGAGGGUAGAAGUGGCGGUGGAGCGGUGAAAGGCGUAGAGAUCGGGAGGAAUAGCAGGGGCGAAGGCGGCCUUGUGGGCUGACACUGAGACGGGGGUGCGAGAGGGGGGGUAGCAAACAGGAUGAGAUACCGUGGUAGUG